AUGCACGCUGGCGGCGUGCCUCAUCCAUGCAAGUCGCGCGCACGGACGAGAAGCUUGCUUCUCUGAUGUUAGCGGCGGACGGGUGAGUAACACGUGGAUAACCUACCUAUAAGACUGGGAUAACUUCGGGAAACCGGAGCUAAUACCGGAUAAUAUUUUGAACCGCAUGGUUCAAAAGUGAAAGACGGUCUUGCUGUCACUUAUAGAUGGAUCCGCGCUGCAUUAGCUAGUUGGUAAGGUAACGGCUUACCAAGGCAACGAUGCAUAGCCGACCUGAGAGGGUGAUCGGCCACACUGGAACUGAGACACGGUCCAGACUCCUACGGGAGGCAGCAGUAGGGAAUCUUCCGCAAUGGGCGAAAGCCUGACGGAGCAACGCCGCGUGAGUGAUGAAGGUCUUCGGAUCGUAAAACUCUGUUAUUAGGGAAGAACAUAUGUGUAAGUAACUGUGCACAUCUUGACGGUACCUAAUCAGAAAGCCACGGCUAACUACGUG
This 496-nucleotide ribosomal RNA is filed under the name uncultured bacterium. RNAcentral describes it as "partial 16S ribosomal RNA". It matches the Rfam family "Bacterial small subunit ribosomal RNA", at positions 29 to 507 of the family's 1533-position model. The record is from RNAcentral.